Molecule: ribosomal RNA, 253 nt
Filed under: uncultured bacterium
Lineage: Bacteria
Description: partial 16S ribosomal RNA
Rfam family: Bacterial small subunit ribosomal RNA
Source: RNAcentral
CACGUAGGAGGCGAGCGUUGUCCGGAAUCACUGGGCGUAAAGGGCGCGUAGGCGGCAGGCCAAGCGUGCGGUGAAAGUCCGGGGCUCAACCCCGGAUCUGCCGUGCGGACUGGUUUGCUAGAGCACUGUAGAGGCGAGUGGAAUUCCGGGUGUAGCGGUGGAAUGCGUAGAGAUCCGGAAGAACACCGGUGGCGAAGGCGGCUCGCUGGGCAGUGGCUGACGCUGAGGCGCGACAGCGUGGGGAGCAAACAGG